ACAAGUUGAAGCCAGCUGAACCCUAUUAGUCCCUUCAAAAUACUUGAAUUUCUCUAGUUUCCAUAAACUGUGUCAGGCUGAGACACAUAUUCACUCCUCCCCCUCCCUGCCCCCAUGCUUGUCUAGCUAAUUAGGGGCACACUUGCACUGUUUUAAUGAGCUCAGGGGUAAACAUUUACAUCCAGAGCCCGGUGCCUAAGAUACAAUCAGCUUCUACAACAGCUGUGGGCAGUCACAGCCUGUGUUACUCCCAGACGUUUAUAGGCUCAUCUCCCUUGUUCUGCUUGGAACAUUCUUUCAUUGUAAGGGUUUAUUGGAUAUUAUGAAUAUUUCCAUUUUGAAAAUAUUUAGAAGACAUUCAGAUGCUUUGGACUGACAGAAUUUGUUACACAUUUCUCUAUUUCACAGCCUUAUGCUCCAGAACUCAGACUUGUCAUGUUGCCUGUUGUAUUCCACUGGGACAGAUUUUAUGGUGUUUCAGGUUACACUCUGCAGAAGACAUUCAAAUCCAUUUCUUUAGCCUUAUCUUUACAGUGUGAUGUGCAGUCCCUUUCUCAGUUCUUUGCUCAGGUUUUUAUUCAUGGAGAGGAAUGAAGAGCUAAAGAUUGUGAAAAUUCCGUCUGGCAUUAUGGCAGUCAGGAUCUGUAUCCCCAAAACUGUAGCGGAGUCAUUCAAUGAAUAGUGAUGCUCUGAGCUGAGUCCCUCUGACAUGAGACAAAACCCUAUAACUUGUCUAGACCUCUAAUUAAUUUGUUGUUGAAACAAAAACUAUUAUGCCUUCAGUUAUCGGAAUCUCCUUUAAUUAUGUCUGUUGUUGCUCUAGAGUUCUUUGAGUUUUACACUGCAAGUAGAUAGAAGCUUGUAAGACAUAUGAAUAUUAAAAUCCUGCAUUUGCCAAAAUUACCUGCAGUUAUGGUAAAUAUUUAUUUGUGGCAGGCAGAGCUAGAUUUACCUGUAAAGAAAAGCAUGUGAUAAUUAUUUGUAUGUGGCUUGUCAUGCUAGAUUUCUAAAGUAAUUGAGAGGUUAUAUUAUUUUA
Molecule: long non-coding RNA, 1036 nt
Organism: Passer domesticus (house sparrow)
Lineage: Eukaryota; Metazoa; Chordata; Aves; Passeriformes; Passeridae
Exons: 3
Source: RefSeq, a predicted model, not a curated record